GGGCGGGAGGGGUUUUUUUUUUUGGUUUUGGAGAGAGACGGGGGUGGCUGUAAAUUAAGUUUCUCAAUAAUCUCUAUUGGAGUGGAUAUAUCAAAAUUGUGGAGAAGUUGAGUGACCUUCAUCUAUACCUAUUAGUUAUUUCCUUUAGUGUAUAUGAAGCAUGCUAAUUUGAUGAAUAAGUAUUAGUUGUUCUUGGAUUGUAGAAAGUGAAAAAGGAGAAGAAACAAAAGAGAAUAUGGAAGAAG
RNAcentral lists this unclassified non-coding RNA (245 nucleotides) under Hevea brasiliensis (rubber tree). The record is from RNAcentral. Lineage: Eukaryota; Viridiplantae; Streptophyta; Magnoliopsida; Malpighiales; Euphorbiaceae.